This 500-nucleotide ribosomal RNA is filed under the name uncultured bacterium. Its description in RNAcentral is "partial 16S ribosomal RNA". It matches the Rfam family "Bacterial small subunit ribosomal RNA", at positions 30 to 523 of the family's 1533-position model. The record is from RNAcentral.
AUUGAACGCUGGCGGCAUGCCUUACACAUGCAAGUCGAACGGCAGCACGGGAGCAAUCCUGGUGGCGAGUGGCGAACGGGUGAGUAAAGUAUCGGAACGUGCCCAGUCGUGGGGGAUAACGUAGCGAAAGUUACGCUAAUUCCGCAUACGAUCUAUGGAUGAAAGCGGGGGAUCGCAAGACCUCGCGCGAUUGGAGCGGCCGAUAUCAGAUUAGGUAGUUGGUGGGGUAAAGGCUCACCAAGCCGACGAUCUGUAGCUGGUCUGAGAGGACGACCAGCCACACUGGGACUGGGACACGGCCCAGACUCCUACGGGAGGCAGCAGUGGGGAAUUUUGGACAAUGGGCGAAAGCCUGAUCCAGCCAUGCCGUGUGCAGGAUGAAGGCCUUCGGGUUGUAAACUGCUUUUGUACGGAACGAAAAGGUUUGGCCUAAUAAGCUGAGCUCAUGACGGUACCGUAAGAAUAAGCACCGGCUAACUACGUGCCAGCAGCCGCGGUAA